Molecule: ribosomal RNA, 468 nt
Filed under: uncultured bacterium
Lineage: Bacteria
Description: partial 16S ribosomal RNA
Rfam family: Bacterial small subunit ribosomal RNA
Source: RNAcentral
GACGAACGCUGGCGGCGUGCUUAACACAUGCAAGUCGAACGGAAAGGCACUGCGUUUGUGGGGUGCUCGAGGGGCGAACGGGUGAGUAACACGAGAAUAACCUGCCCUAGACUUUGGGAUAACUUCAGGAAACGGGGGCUAAUACAGGAUAGGAGCUCAUGCAGCAUGGUGGGGGGUGGAAAGUUUCGGCGGGUGGGGCUGGACUAGCGGCUUAUCAGCUUGUUGGUGGGCGAGUGGCUUACCAAGGCUUUGAAGGGUAGCCGGCCUGAGAGGGUGACCGGCCACAUUGGGACUGAGGUACGGCCCAGACUCCUACGGGAGGCAGCAGUGGGGAAUAUUGCACAAUGGGCGGACGCCUGAUGCAGCAACGCCGCGUGCGGGAUGACGGCCUUCGGGUUGUAAACCGCUUUCGCCUGUGACGAAGCGUGAGUGACGGUAAUGGGUAAAGAAGCACCGGCUAACUACGUG